CGGACGGGUGAGUAACACGUAGAGAACCUACCUUACACAGGGGGACAACGGGCUGGAAACGGCUGCUAAUACCGCAUAAGCACCCAGUUUCGCAUGAAACAGAGUGAAAAGAGUAAAUCGGUGUAAGAUGGCUCUGCGUCUGAUUAGCUAGUUGGUGGGGUAAAGGCUCACCAAGGCGACGAUCAGUAGCCGGCCUGAGAGGGUGGACGGCCACAUUGGGACUGAGACACGGCCCAAACUCCUACGGAAGGCAGCAG
RNAcentral lists this ribosomal RNA (257 nucleotides) under uncultured bacterium. RNAcentral's name for it is "partial 16S ribosomal RNA". It matches the Rfam family "Bacterial small subunit ribosomal RNA", at positions 99 to 354 of the family's 1533-position model. The record is from RNAcentral.